AUUUAAAUAGCUUAAUAAGAGCAUAACAUUGAAGCUGUUAGGGUGAUGGAUUAUCUUUAAAUA
RNAcentral lists this transfer RNA (63 nucleotides) under Neochauliodes fraternus. RNAcentral's name for it is "tRNA-Phe". It matches the Rfam family "tRNA". From Rfam's summary of the family: Transfer RNA (tRNA) molecules are approximately 80 nucleotides in length. The record is from RNAcentral. RNAcentral also lists the same sequence under 1 other name. Lineage: Eukaryota; Metazoa; Arthropoda; Insecta; Megaloptera; Corydalidae.